RNAcentral lists this ribosomal RNA (433 nucleotides) under uncultured bacterium. RNAcentral describes it as "partial 16S ribosomal RNA". It matches the Rfam family "Bacterial small subunit ribosomal RNA", at positions 29 to 507 of the family's 1533-position model. The record is from RNAcentral.
AAUGAACGCUGGCGGCAUGCCUAACACAUGCAAGUCGAACGAGACCUCCGGGUCUAGUGGCGCACGGGUGUGUCACGCGUGGGAACCUGCCCUUAGGUUCGGCAUACCUCUCCGAAAGGGGUGCUAAUACCGGAUCAUGUCUUCGGCCCAAAGAUUUAUCGCCUUUGGAUGGGCCAGCGUUGGAUUAGCUAGUUGGUAGGGUAAAAGCCUACUAAGGCGAGGAUCCAUAGCUGGUCUGAGAGGAAGAUCAGCAACUCUGGGAGUCGGACCCGGCCGAGACUCCUACGGAAUGCAGGAGUGGGGAAUAGUGGAAAGCGGGGGGAGGCCUGAUCCAGCAAGGCCGCGAGAGUGAUGAAGGCCGGAGGGUUGUAAAGCGCUUGUACCCGGGAUGAUAAUGACAGUACCGGGAGAAUAAGCUCCGGCUAACUCCGUG